This 73-nucleotide transfer RNA is filed under the name Solirubrobacterales bacterium. RNAcentral's name for it is "tRNA-Thr". It matches the Rfam family "tRNA". From Rfam's summary of the family: Transfer RNA (tRNA) molecules are approximately 80 nucleotides in length. Lineage: Bacteria; Bacillati; Actinomycetota; Thermoleophilia; Solirubrobacterales. The record is from RNAcentral. RNAcentral also lists the same sequence under 2 other names.
GCCGGAGUAGCUCAGCUGGUAGAGCACUCGCCUUGUAAGCGAAAGGUCGUCGGUUCGAGUCCGACCUCCGGCU